Molecule: small nuclear RNA, 103 nt
Organism: Pygocentrus nattereri (red-bellied piranha)
Lineage: Eukaryota; Metazoa; Chordata; Actinopteri; Characiformes; Serrasalmidae
Source: Ensembl
UUGCUACGGCAGCACAUAUACUAAAAUUGGAUCGAUACAGAGAAGAUUAGCAUGGCCCCUGCGAAAGGAUGACACACAAAUCCGUGAAGGGCAGUCGUGGGCU